RNAcentral lists this unclassified non-coding RNA (170 nucleotides) under soil metagenome. RNAcentral's name for it is "partial internal transcribed spacer 1". The record is from RNAcentral.
CAGAGUUAGCAAACUCCCAACCCUAUGUGAACGUUACCAACUUGCAGUUGCCUCGGCGGGGUCACGCCCCGGUGCGUAAGAGCCCUGACCAGCGCCCCGGAGGAACAGACCAAACUCUUUCUGUAGUCCCUCCGACGUAUUUCUACGCUUAGCAUAUUCAAUAAUGAUCA